Molecule: unclassified non-coding RNA, 3613 nt
Filed under: Drosophila mojavensis
Lineage: Eukaryota; Metazoa; Arthropoda; Insecta; Diptera; Drosophilidae
Description: GI21073
Source: RNAcentral
GGAAAUGUUUAUGGAUAUGAAAAGUGUAUAGAAUAAAAAAAAUUACAAAAUUUAAUUCAUUUGCAUUCAAUGUCAGCCGUUUGAUUGUCAAAAUUUUUUAGGUACUCGCAAUCUUUUUGCUUUUUAUCAAUUCCCAGGCAACGAUGACUACAUUAAAAAAAAAUUUUAGGUCUAAGAAGGUUCCCAAUCCAUGCACACGUCACUUUGAUAUCACAAAGCUAAUACCUAAGCCCCGGAAAAACUUCCGGAAUCCCGAAACCACCAAAGGACCCGCAUCAGUGAAAUCGCCCAUAGCCAAAUCUUACAUAGACCCAAGAGUCCGUGGAUAUGUCAGAGCGCCAGCCGAAUGGCGGCCGGUCGAUAGUGGCUAUAUGCCAGACGAUCGAGGCAGUCCCUACUUGCUGCUCUCCGAGGACGAGGACGACUUUUCGCAGGUGAAUGAAAAUGCAAAGAAGCUACGAGCACCUACCUGUCACAAUGUGUUGCAUGAACCGCGGCUGAAACUGGAUGCGCCCGAUGUGAAGCGCCUGGUGCGCGGCAUACGGCUCAGCAUUUGUGUCGAGCACACCCACUUUCCACUGAUUGCCAAGGUAUCGAAGGGUCUGGGCCUCACCCACGUGCCAGAGCAUCGCCUGUGGAAUGUUCAAUGGUGCGAUAAUACGCCCCAUUUCGAUCUACUGAAGAGUAUGAAGCGAUUUCAGCAAAUCAACCAUUUCCCCGGCAUGAUGGAAAUCUGCCGCAAGGAUCUACUAUCGCGUAAUCUGAAUCGCAUGCUCAAAAUGUAUCCAGGCGACUAUCGCAUAUUUCCCAAGACCUGGCUACUGCCCACAGACACCUACGAUGUGGCUGUCUAUGCUAGCAAGCACAAGCGCACGUUUAUACUCAAACCCUACUCAUCGGGGCAGGGGCGUGGUAUUUGGCUAACCAACAAUCUGCGCACGGUGGGCAGACAGGAGAAACUGAUCUGCCAGACGUACAUUGAAAAGCCCCUCCUCAUCGAUGGCUUUAAGUUUGAUUUGCGUGUUUAUACGCUGGUCACUUCAGUGGAUCCGCUCCGCAUCUUUGUCUACAACGAGGGCCUGGCUCGUUUUGCAACCCAUAAAUACAAGCCGCCGGCGUUGGGCAACAGCAACAAUAUGUUCAUGCACCUGACCAACUAUUGUGUGAAUCGCCGCAGCUGCAACUAUGAUGCAGGCACUGGCAAUGACAAGGGCUCCAAACGGAAAUUGAGUGCAUAUAACAAGUGGCUCGCCGAUCACCAUUACAAUGUGGAUGAGUUCUGGGCGACGGUGGACGAUGCGAUCAUCAAGACCGUGAUCAGCGCUUGGCCAGUGCUGAAGCACAAUUAUCACAUCUGCUUCCCGAAGCACGAUAAGAUACAGGCCUGCUUUCAGCUAUUGGGCUUCGACAUACUCGUCGAUUGGAAGCUUAAGCCGUACAUUCUGGAGGUGAAUCAUACGCCCAGUUUGGCGGGCGGAGAGCCGGUUGACUUCGAAGUAAAGCGUCCACUGAUACGCGACACUUUGAACCUGAUCAGCAUGCCCCUGGUCGACAAGGAGGAGAUCAUCCGCGAGGAUCGUGCGCUGCUUCGUGAUCGUCUGAUGAGGCAGAUGCAUCGACGCCGUGUGGUCACUCCGCCCAAGGACGGGUCAGGACAGCGACCAGCCGGUGGCGCCGACGAGAAUCCAGUGUGCUCUCUGGGCGCUCUGGCCCAGCAAAUUGCCUGGGAGGAAAGCCAUUUGGGCAACUACAGGCGCAUAAUGCCGCCCACCGACACUAAUCGGGUCAGUUACUACUUCAAGUUCUACAAUCAAUACAAGGAUAUACCCAUGUUCAAGGACAACACAGCCAGCACUAGUCGCCAUCAAGUCACUCGUGAGCAUUUGAGGCAGGAGCAUCUCCAAAGCCAAUUGCAGGACGAGCACUGUCAGCUGAAUGAGCAGCUGCAGCUCCGCAACGACAAUCGGAUACCUCUUCUGAACAAGCAACUGCUCAAAGAGAAACGCAUGCAAACACUGGCCAUAAUCAAGGACAUACAGCUGCAGAAGGCCAAGAUGUUGAAGCGGACGGAGGGUAAAGAGAAGGUGGGCUUAUGGCAGAUGCUCAAUACGCCGGAACGGACGGAGGUCAAGAGGCGCAAGCAUCGAGAGAACUCUAGGAAAUCCUCGAGGCAGCCAUCGAGGGACUCCUCGACGCAGUCCUCAAGGAGAUCCCCGAGGCCGUCCUCGAGGCAUUCUUCGAGGCAGUUCAGAAGAAAACCAACGGAUUCAAACGAAUCAACCGAUACAAGCGAGCUCAAACGUCGCAAAGCUUUGCCUGAGAUCUCGCCCAGCCGCAUCAAACGCAUCCACGUGCCCAACGCCAAGUCAAGCCGACGCGCCAAGCAUCGCAAACUGCAGCAACGAAUCAAACGAUCGCGUCGCCUGGAGCGUGAGUCCCGCCUCGACGCCGAGUUCCUGGCCAAGCAUAGCAUUGUGGCUACUGCGCGCCUGCUGGCGGGCAGCUCCAAGCCUCAAACCUCCGCCACCUCGCAAAUGUGCAGUAAUGUUGUGCAAAUGCCAUGCCAACUAACCGAGUUUGAGUCCAAGCUGAAUGCCUUUAACCAAGUCGAGCUACAGUCCUACCAGGAGCUCACAUUCAGCAAGUACAGCGAUCAAAAUGUUGACUGGCUGCCCGAACCCAUCGACGAAUCGGACAAUCAGCAGCACUUUGAGUGGCGAUCAGAGCGCGAAAUGGCUGUCAAGAACAGCAUGUUUAAGGAGGUGCUGUUCCAUGAAAUGUACGAGCGCGGUGAUCUAACCAAAAAUGAUAUUAGACUAUUUCCAAAUCUUCUGUAUUCAAUACUGCGCCAUCAAAUGAACAAUAAAAAUAUUUAUAAUUCAUAUAACAAAUAUAAUAAUAAUACUGAUAAGGAAAAGGCUAAGGAAAGUAUGUUGGUGACAAUGAAUUGAAUGAAGAAUAUUUGAAAUUGAAAUUGCAUUUGAAUGAGACAUAUCCGAAACACAGAGGGAGACAGUGAGAGACAGAGAGAGUUGAUCUGCAUUGAAAAGUAAUUUCCGAAUCUUCUUUAUCGCAUAAAUCUGAACGCCAUCAUCAUCAUCAGCAUCACCAACGAGCAAGUACAGUUACUACUAUGUGGGAAAACCCGAAACGUACCUCGUCGUUAUUGAAACCUUCAAAGACCAUAGUCUUUUAAAUAAACUUAAAUUUUAAGUGUAAGUUUGCCGCAAAAAUUCGAAAUUGUAACAUAAAAUAUGGAUUUAAACCCAAAAAAAAAAUCUGUCACGAAAACAAAAACCAACAUGAAAAUCUUUCAUUUUCAUGUGCUUCUCUUCUGGAGACUCAACUAGCAUUUCGGAAGAUAUCAGAGUACAGAAUAUUUUGGUAUAUACAUAAAUCAAAUUAAUUGUGUCGUAUUAACUAAAGCAGCGCAAAUGUGACGCCCGAUGAAAUCGAAAUUAGUGACAUCUCUGAGUGCCCGAAACGAAGCAAAUAAUUGUAAAUGAAACCCCAAGCAAUAAACUACAAUUCAUGUAUACACAAAGGCAUUCAAUAGUUAUGUUAAGCAUCGAAAGCAUUAAAUUUAUAUAAGCAAAAUUAUAAAUAAACAGAU